ACUGACAAACUAGAGAGAGCUGCAAGGAGUCAGUACAUCCCUGGCACAACCCACUCCCUCUUACGACAUAUUAUAUGAGACUGUAUGAGCCCUACUUCCACGGUACACUAAAAACCCACGGUCCCUGCAUUAUCUGAGCAGCUGACAAGCUUCUGAAGUUAAGAUUCAUGAACGCUGAGAGCGGUACCCAGUGGAUUUGUGCCAGGCAGAUGCCCAAAGCAGAGAGAGUGAAGCAGUCAGAAUUUCAGACACUCUGAACAACUCCCCUUGGGAUACCUCUGGGGCUGGCGUCUUUACAUCACAACGACAGAGAACUGGCCCUCACGGACUAUGGCCACCGCGUCUUAGAGGUUUUGUUUCUCUGUGGGCGUCCAUGUGCUCUGUUUCUUUCUCUCCUCACCACUCUCCAAACCACACUCACACAAAUAUACAUCCCCAUAUGCAAAGAUGCACAUAUGUAUAUUGUACAUCAGUGUGACACUCACACGCGCGUGGGGUAUUAGCAUAGCCUUUCCCCCCUCCCCCCCAAGUCCCUCUUGUGUUUCCCAGCACCCAGCAUCCUCCAAAGCGGGCAGUGGCACACUAUGGCUCAUAAGCUAAAUCCCGUCACUGCCUGCUUUGUAAAUAAAGUUUUGCUGGAACACA
Molecule: non-coding RNA, 645 nt
Organism: Macaca mulatta (Rhesus monkey)
Lineage: Eukaryota; Metazoa; Chordata; Mammalia; Primates; Cercopithecidae
Source: RefSeq, a predicted model, not a curated record